Molecule: ribosomal RNA, 293 nt
Filed under: uncultured bacterium
Lineage: Bacteria
Description: partial 16S ribosomal RNA
Rfam family: Archaeal small subunit ribosomal RNA
Source: RNAcentral
GUGCCAGCCGCCGCGGUAAUACCGGCAGCCCGAGUGAUGGCCGAUCUUAUUGGGCCUAAAGCGUCCGUAGCUGGCCUCGCAAGUCCGUCGGGAAAUCCAGUAGCCCAACUACUGGGCGUCCGGCGGAAACUACAAGGCUUGGGACCGGAAGGCUCGAGGGGUACGUCCGGGGUAGGAGUGAAAUCCCGUAAUCCUGGACGGACCGCCGAUGGCGAAAGCACGUCGCGAGAACGGAUCCGACAGUGAGGGACGAAAGCCAGGGUCUCGAACCGGAUUAGAUACCCGUGUAGUCC